Molecule: ribosomal RNA, 253 nt
Filed under: uncultured bacterium
Lineage: Bacteria
Description: partial 16S ribosomal RNA
Rfam family: Bacterial small subunit ribosomal RNA
Source: RNAcentral
UACAGAGGGUGCGAGCGUUAAUCGGAAUUACUGGGCGUAAAGCGCGCGUAGGCGGCUUUGCAAGUCGGGUGUGAAAUCCCCAGGCUUAACCUGGGAAUUGCAUUUGUGACUGCACGGCUAGAGUGUGUCAGAGGGGGGUAGAAUUCCACGUGUAGCAGUGAAAUGCGUAGAGAUGUGGAGGAAUACCGAUGGCGAAGGCAGCCCCCUGGGAUAACACUGACGCUCAUGCACGAAAGCGUGGGGAGCAAACAGG